CCUACGGGCGGCAGCAGUGAGGAAUAUUGGUCAAUGGGCGAGAGCCUGAACCAGCCAAGUCGCGUGAGGGAAGACGGUCCUAUGGAUUGUAAACCUCUUUUGUCGGGGAGCAAAAAGGCCUCGUGAGGCCACAAGUGAGAGUACCCGAAGAAAAAGCAUCGGCUACCUCCGUGCCAGAAGCCGCGGUAAUACGGGGGAUGCGAGCGUUAUCCGGAUUUAUGGGGUUUAAAGGGUGCGUAGGCGGACUGGAAAGUCAGCGGGAAAAUCGAGAGGCUCAACCUCUUUCCGCCGUUGAAACUGGCGGUCUUGAGUGGGCUAGAGGUAUGCGGAAUGCGUGGUGUAGCGGUGAAAUGCAUAGAUAUCACGCAGAACCCCGAUUGCGAAGGCAGCCUGCCAAGCCAUGACUGACGCUGAUGCACGAAAGCGUGGGGAUCAAACAGGAUUAGAUACCCGGGUAGUC
Molecule: ribosomal RNA, 460 nt
Filed under: uncultured bacterium
Lineage: Bacteria
Description: partial 16S ribosomal RNA
Rfam family: Bacterial small subunit ribosomal RNA
Source: RNAcentral